This 622-nucleotide ribosomal RNA is filed under the name Xylaria sp. M101. Its description in RNAcentral is "eukaryotic LSU rRNA". The stretch from base 245 to 398 matches the Rfam family "5.8S ribosomal RNA". Lineage: Eukaryota; Fungi; Ascomycota; Sordariomycetes; Xylariales; Xylariaceae. The record is from RNAcentral.
UCUUGGUCCAUUGAGGAAGUAAAAGUCGUAACAAGGUCUCCGUUGGUGAACCAGCGGAGGGAUCAUUAAAGAGUUCUAUAACUCCCAAACCCAUGUGAACAUACUUAACGUUGCCUCGGCAGGUCGCGCCUACCUCGUAGCACCCUACCCUGUAGGGCCUACCCGGGAGACGCGGGUCAGCCUGCCGACGGCCUACCAAACUCUGUUUGAUAUUGAAUUCUGAACCUAUAACUAAAUAAGUUAAAACUUUCAACAACGGAUCUCUUGGUUCUGGCAUCGAUGAAGAACGCAGCGAAAUGCGAUAAGUAAUGUGAAUUGCAUAAUUCAGUGAAUCAUCGAAUCUUUGAACGCAUAUUGCGCCCAUUAGUAUUCUAGUGGGCAGGACCGUUCGAGCGUCAUUUCGACCCUUAAGCCUUGGUUGCUUAGUGUUGGGAGCCUACGGCAACGUAGCUCCUCAAAGUUAGUGGCGGAGUUGGUGAACACUCUAGACGUAGUAGAUUUUUAUCUCGCCUAUCAGUUGGACCGGUCCCCUGCCGUAAAACCCCCCAACUUCUUAAAGUUGACCUCGAAUCGGUUCAGACAAACUCGCUAAAUUGAAGCAUAUCAAUAGGGGGGAGGAAAA